AGCAGUGGCCUGACCCUAAUCAUUCCUAGAGGUUUCUGCUUUUGGUUGGGUCCUAUUCUAAGAAAAGUGCUUUCUGGAUGACCCUUUCAUAAUUUUCUUUUUGUAUCUCCCUUCUUAAAGGAUUAUGAUAGUAGAGAUAAAAACAGAAGGACCAAUUGGAAAAAAAGAAUUAUGAUAAACUAUUUAUGGUUCUGUUAAAUACGACUUUUGUGAUUAUUGUUAUAAACCGUGUUUAGAGAGUCCUUUAACAUUUUCUUUUUAGAAAAGGGUCAGUAAAGGGGCGCCUGAGUGGUUCAGUUGGUUAAGCACCCGACUCUUGAUUUCGACUCAGGUCUGAUCUCACAGUUCAUGAGAUCGAGCCCCUCAUCAGACUCUGUGCUAUCAGAUUGUCUUUCUUGGGAUUCUCUUUCUCCCUCUUUCUCUCUGCCCCUUCCUCACUUGUGCAUGUGCUCUCUCUCUCUCUCUCUCUCUCUCAAAAUAAAUAAACUUAAAAAAAGAGAGAAAGUAGGUAAAAUUGUUCAUUGUCCUCUUACAUAACUGGAAAACUCUUCUGUUGGUAAAAAAAAAAAUCAUCUCUUCUUUUUAAAUUCUCAAACCUAUAAUUUUAACCUAGAACUCUCAUCUAUUUUCUGAUCUUGUUUUUCUAACCACUUAGUGUUACAUAUACAAUCCAACCUGUUCAAACCCAAAUCCAUCAUUUUAUUUACUCACCUUAAGCUGGUUUCCUGGUUGCUAUGCCUCCCAAUUUCCUCAUUUCUGUUCAUUUGUCUACUAUUGUAAAUGGUUUGUAGGAUAGAUGCUGUACAUUUUGUCUCUUCUUUAUUUCCUUUAUGUCAAAUGUCACUGUGUAUUGUGGUUUUAUUCAGUCACUCAUUUGUUCAUUCAACAAGCAUUCACUGGGCAUCUAUGACAUGCCAGGCACUGGGAAUACAAUGAUAAACAAGGUCCACUUUCUGUCCUCUAGGAGCCACUAGUAAACAAGGGAGAUGGAGACGUGAAAUGUGAUCGCGUUAUGUGAUGAGUGCCGAGUCGGCAUUCUAUACACUGAUGAAAAAUGAGAGUAUGUCCAGCAAGGCAAGCAGAGUUCUUUCAUGUUUUGAUAAGCUCAUGACUGUGAUACUCAACUGGAAUUUGUAGUCUUCUCUGAAGUUUUUCUGAAUUGCUACAGUCAUGGAGUGAUAUCUUCUUGGAGCCGAUUGUCUGAAAGUCAGCUGGGGACACGAAGUUGGAUUCGGGGAAACGACCUUCUGCAGGAAGAGCUUCAAAACAGUGCAACUCAGCUCGCUGUGAUUGUGUAUCUGAAAUGGAUUACGGAAGUCAAGCUCCAGAAGGGAGGAAGUUGAAUGGCAUACCGUUUUGCUUUCUUGAUCUACAUGUGAGCUCCUGGCUGUUCAGCCUGAGGUGCCCCUUGGAGGAGACGUGGAACCUGCCAUGCUAAGCCUGGAGGGAAAGUCUCUCUGAGAAGCUGUGCAUCCCCCAGGGGACCUCUUCUGGAAGGACACGGAGCGGUAGGUAACAGCACCUCAGGGUGGCCUCAUAGUGUCCUUUGUAGCACAUGGGGGAAACACAAAAACGUCCAAGGAAAUAGAUAACCAAUUUUAGUUUUGGAAAUACACAGCCUUUCAAAAGCACUGUUGACGACAACGGCCAGGGUACC
Neofelis nebulosa (Clouded leopard) is the source of this 1657-nucleotide long non-coding RNA. RefSeq lists it as uncharacterized. The record is from RefSeq and is a predicted model, not a curated record. The transcript is spliced from 4 exons. NCBI's taxonomy places the organism in Eukaryota, Metazoa, Chordata, Mammalia, Carnivora, Felidae.